CCUACGGGAGACAGCAGUGAGGAAUAUUGGUCAAUGGGCGGGAGCCUGAACCAGCCAAGUCGCGUGAAGGAAGAAGGUACUGAGGAUUGUAAACUUCUUUUGUCGGGGAACAAAGGCGGAGACGCGUCGCCGGAUGAGGGGACCCGAAGAAAAAGCAUCGGCUAACGCCGUGCCAGCAGCCGCGGUAAUACGGGGGAUGCGAGCGUUAUCCGGAUUUAUUGGGUUUAAAGGGGGCGCAGGCGGGAGAGCAAGUCAGCGGUAAAAUUUCGGGGCUCAACCCCUGCCGGCCGUUGAAACUGGGUUUCUAGAGUUGGCGAGAAGUCUGCGGAAUUCGUGUUGUAGCGGU
RNAcentral lists this ribosomal RNA (346 nucleotides) under uncultured bacterium. Its description in RNAcentral is "partial 16S ribosomal RNA". It matches the Rfam family "Bacterial small subunit ribosomal RNA", at positions 338 to 682 of the family's 1533-position model. The record is from RNAcentral.